UGGACGUGGCGGGCCGCCCUAAACAUGCAUUCGAGCGACCUUCGGGUGAGCGGGGCGGGUUAGUAACGCGUGGGAACAUACCCAACACUACGGAAUAGCCUUUGGAAACGAAGAGUAAUACCGUAUACGCCCUUCGGGGGAAAGAUUUAUCGGUGAUGGAUUGGCCCGCGUUAGAUUAGUUAGUUGGUGGGGUAACGGCCUACCAAGACGACGAUCUAUAGCUGGUUUGAGAGGAUGAUCAGCAACACUGGGACUGAGACACGGCCCAGACUCCUACGGGAGGCAGCAGUGGGGAAUCUUAGACAAUGGGCGAAAGCCUGAUCUAGCGAUGCCGCGUGAGUGACGAAGGCCCUAGGGUCGUAAAGCUCUUUCGCCAGGGAUGAUAAUGACAGUACCUGGUAAAGAAACCCCGGCUAACUCCGUGCCAGCAGCCGCGGUAAUACGGAGGGGGUUAGCGUUGUUCGGAAUUACUGGGCGUAAAGCGCGCGUAGGCGGACUAUUAAGUCAGGGGUGAAAUCCCGGGGCUCAACCCCGGAACUGCCUUUGAUACUGGUAGUCUAGAGUUCGAGAGAGGUGAGUGGAAUUCCAAGUGUAGAGGUGAAAUUCGUAGAUAUUUGGAGGAACACCAGUGGCGAAGGCGGCUCACUGGCUCGAUACUGACGCUGAGGUGCGAAAGUGUGGGGAGCAAACAGGAUUAGAUACCCUGGUAGUCCACACCGUAAACGAUGAAUGCCAGACGUCGGGGGGCUUGCCUUUCGGUGUCACACCUAACGGAUUAAGCAUUCCGCCUGGGGAGUACGGUCGCAAGAUUAAACUCAAUGUU
Molecule: ribosomal RNA, 823 nt
Filed under: bacterium MD32
Lineage: Bacteria
Description: bacterial SSU rRNA
Rfam family: Bacterial small subunit ribosomal RNA
Source: RNAcentral